This 3993-nucleotide ribosomal RNA is filed under the name Triticum aestivum (bread wheat). Its description in RNAcentral is "partial small subunit ribosomal RNA". Lineage: Eukaryota; Viridiplantae; Streptophyta; Magnoliopsida; Poales; Poaceae. The record is from RNAcentral.
AUGGAGAUGGCUAUCGGCACAGCAAGCUGGCUCGUCGGCAAGGUGCUGAAUAAGCUGUCCGAUGACUUGGUGGCUGCAUAUGUGGCCAGCUCCGAUCUCGGCAUCAACUCCGAGCAGAUUAGAUACAAGCUCCAGUACAUGCAAGGGCUGCUGCACGCGGCCCAGGAGAAGGACGUGAGCAGCAACCCUGGCCUGCAGAGCUUGCUGGAGGGCCUGAGCAAGAAGGCUGAUGAGGCUGAGGACGCCUUGGAUGAGCUCCACUACUUCAUGAUCCAGGACAAGUUGGACGGCACCAACAAGGCAGCCGCGAAGCUUGGUGAUAGCCUCCGUGCUCAUGCUCGCCAUAGUCGCCAUGCUGCUCGUCGCACCAUCGGUAACUGGCUUGCACCCUUUUCUUCCUCGUCUUCACAACAUGAUGAUGGCGGCUAUGUUUCGAAGUUGAAAUUCGAUAGAGUUGCCAUGUCCAACAAAAUCAAGUCAGUGAUAGAGAGCAUACACAACCUAUGUGAUCCUGUCUCUGACUUGCUGAAUAAAAUCCCAAAUAAUAACAGAGCUAUCACGCGGCCUCAAACAGGUUCAACAAUUACAGAGGAUAAACUAUAUGGGAGGGGUGCCAUUUUUGACCAAACUGUAAAUGCACUCACCAGUGACACACAUCUUGGUGAAAUCCUUUCUGUUCUACCUUUUGUUGGCCCUGGAGGUAUGGGAAAGACAACAUUCACCCAACACUUGUAUAAUGAUAAAAGGGUUGAGCAACACUUCACUGUCAAGGUCUGGGUAUGUGUGUCAACCGAGUUUCGUGUGCUAGACCUCACUCGGCAAAUCCUUCGAUGCAUACCUGCAAUUGAAAAAGAAAAACACAACUGUACAGUUGAAACAGCCAGUUUAGACCAGCUUCAAAAAUCCAUUGCAGAGAGACUGAAGUCCAAAAGGUUUUUAAUUGUCCUGGACGACAUUUGGAAAUUCAGUAGUGAAGCUGAUUGGAAAUACCUAUUAGCUCCCUUCACAAAAGGGGAAACCAAGGGCAGUGUGGUUCUCGCCACAACUCGGUUUCCAUCUACAGCACAUUCGGUGAAAACAACUGAUCCAGUAGAAUUGCAUGGCUUGGAGCCUGAUGACUUCUUCGAGUUCUUUGAGGCAUGUAUAUUUGGUCAUAGCAAACCCAGGCAUUACAAAGAAGACUUAAUUAAUCUCGCAAGAGAUAUUGCAAAGAAACUAAAGGGUUCGCCCCUAGCAGCCAAUACAGUUGGUCGUUUAUUGAAGAAAAACAUUUCUAGGGAAUAUUGGGUUGGAGUUCUUGAAAAUAAUGAGUGGAAAAAUUCAAAGAAUGAUGGUGAUAUUAUGCCAUCUUUGAAAAUUAGCUAUGAUUACCUUCCUUUCAUUCAAAAAAAAUGUUUUUCAUAUUGUGCACUCUUCCCGGAAGACUAUAAGUUUAGAUAUUUAGAAAUUACUAGAUUUUGGAGCGCGAUAGGUAUCCUGUCAAAAGAUAAAAAUUACUUAGAUGAACUUGUAGACAAUGGUUUUCUCAUGAAGAAAUCUGAUUGGCCAGGUGAUCAAUACUAUGUGAUGCAUGAUUUAUUGCAUGAACUAUCCAGGAAUGUUUCAUCACGAGAAUGUGUCAAUAUAAGUAGUUCAAGUUUUAGUGUCAAAGACAUUCCACAAUCGAUUCAACACUUAUCAAUCACCAUAGAGAAUAUAUAUGAUGAAACUUUUGUGAAAAAAAUGGAAAUAUUGAAGGGCACGAUAGCCGUUAGAAGUUUGCGAACUUUGAUGAUUUUUGGGUCACAUGAUGCAAGACUAGCUAGCGUUUUCAAAGAUGCAUUUGAAGAAAUAAAGGCUCUCCGAGUAUUAUUUAUAUCAAUGAACACUCCGAAAUCCUUGCCCAAGAGCUUUUCGAAACUUAUCCACCUCCGGUACCUUAAAAUUAGUUCACCAUAUGGCUCAAAAGAAAUGACAUUACCUAGCACACUGUCUAGAUUUUACCACUUGAAAUUUUUGGACCUCCUAUAUUGGUAUGGAAGUGAAAUAUUGCCCAAAGACAUUUGCCACCUUGAGAACUUACGUCAUUUCCAUUCCACCAAAGAACUCCAUUCCAAUAUCCCCAAUGUUGGGAAGAUGAAGUGUUUACAGGAGCUAAAGGAGUUCUAUGUUAGGAAAGAGGGUGAUGGGUUUAAAUUGAGAGAGCUUGGGGAAUUGGGAGAGCUAGGAGGAGAACUCUGCAUACGUAAUCUUGAAACUGUGGCGUCCAAAGCAGAGGCUAGUUCUGCUGAACUGAAAAAUAAAAGGAAUUUGAAAGUGCUGGAAUUAGUUUGGAGUACAGAUCACCAAACGAUAUAUGAUGAUGUUCUUGAUGGUCUUCAACCACACCCUAAUCUUAAGGUGCUUAGCAUUGUAAAUCCUGGUGUUGGCCCUUGUCCUAGAUGGUUGUGUGGUGACAUUAGCACAAAAAGGCUGGAAGCUCUCCAUCUAGAGGGCCUAUCUUGGGUUACUUUUCCACCUUUUGAUCAGCUACCGCACCUCAGCAGUCUCACUUUGAAGAAUAUUGUUGGGAUGCACGUGUUUGGACCUGGCUUUAGUGGUGUUACAGAGAGAAGUUUCAUGCACCUGAAGAGAAUUGAGUUUGGUUGUAUGCCAGAACUUGUCAAGUGGGUCGGGGAACCUAAUAGCCAUCUGUUUUCAAGGCUUGAAAGGAUCAAGUUGGGAGAUUGUCCCCUUCUCUGCUGGUUCCCCUUCUUGGAGGGUUCUGACUUAUUUACCAACCUACGCAGUCUUGAUAUUGAUAAUUGUCCCGAGUUAUCUCAGUUCCCUCCCAUGCCUCACAGCACUACACUAACAAAUAUGUGUUUGAGGAAUGCUAGCUCAGUUAUGCGAUACACUGGAAAUGAUUUCACUAUUGAAGGGCAUUGCGGUGCUUUGGCCUUCCACAAUAUGGAUAAAGUAGAGGUUAUGAAAAUUACAGAUGUGUCGCAUAUUUCAUUUUUAGACCUCCAAAGAGUAAACUCAUUGACGAGUGUACAUUUUAAGAAAUGUGACCGCAUGUUCUCUAUGGAAUUGGAAGACAACCUUGUCCUCUGUUCAGUUCAGAAUCUUGUCAUAGAGGAGUUAUGUAUUACUAGUGAAUUGUUUUCAAAGAUGUUGAAGUGUUUCCCAGCUGUUUCCCAAUUUACUAUCAAAGAGUGUAAGGAACUUGAACUUCUGCUUGGGGAGGAUGGAGGACUCUCGAGCCUCAGGAUGCUCCAAUCAUUUACAGGAUUCAGCUGUGGGAAGUUGUUCUCUCGGUGGCACGAGGGAGAAGUAGGUGGAGGAGCUCAUGCCAUCAAACCUUUCCCUACUUCCCUCAGAGAACUUGAUAUUUCCUUGGAGCCAAGUAUGCAGUCAAUGGGUCUGCUCUCAAACCUCACGUCUCUCACAAGUCUAAGGCUGAUAGGUUGUAAAGAACUAACAAUGGAUGGGUUCAAUCUGCAUAUCACAGUCAACCUCAAGAAAUUGACUGUAAAUGCUAUGUAUUUGAGUCAAGAGAAGAACUCUAUAGCAGGGGGUCUGCUCUCAGAGAUUGUAAGGAACAAAUUGAUGCAUGCAGAUUCUUUCCAGCUGGAAGAAUUUAUGGUGGAUAGCAUCUCGGCAGUGCUUACUGCUCCCAUUUGCAGUCACCUUGCCGCUACCCUCCACACAUUGAAGUUCUGCGAUGAUCAACGAGAGAGAACCUUCACAGAAGUGCAAGAGCAAGUGCUUCACCUCCUCACCUCCCUCCAACAUUUGGAAUUUCGAUAUUGCGGAAAUCUUCGGUCCCUCCCUCAAGGGUUACCUUUCCUUUCUUCUCUCAAGACACUACAUAUAUACGGUUGUAAGAAAAUCCGCCGCCUGCCGCCCAAGGAGGGCUUCCCAGCUUCACUGGACAAGCUUCAAGUAUGGUUUUGCAGUCCGAAGCUAACUAAGCAAGCCAAGAAAUUGAGAGGAAGAGACCCAUCGUUUUUGGUACAAGUACAAGAGUAA